Molecule: ribosomal RNA, 587 nt
Filed under: uncultured bacterium
Lineage: Bacteria
Description: bacterial SSU rRNA
Rfam family: Bacterial small subunit ribosomal RNA (bases 1-524)
Source: RNAcentral
CCUACGGGAGGCAGCAGUGGGGAAUAUUGCACAAUGGGCGCAAGCCUGAUGCAGCGACGCCGCGUGAGGGAUGACGGCCUUCGGGUUGUAAACCUCUUUCAGUAGGGAAGAAGCGAAAGUGACGGUACCUGCAGAAGAAGCGCCGGCUAACUACGUGCCAGCAGCCGCGGUAAUACGUAGGGCGCAAGCGUUAUCCGGAAUUAUUGGGCGUAAAGAGCUCGUAGGCGGUUUGUCGCGUCUGCCGUGAAAGUCCGGGGCUCAACUCCGGAUCUGCGGUGGGUACGGGCAGACUAGAGUGAUGUAGGGGAGACUGGAAUUCCUGGUGUAGCGGUGAAAUGCGCAGAUAUCAGGAGGAACACCGAUGGCGAAGGCAGGUCUCUGGGCAUUAACUGACGCUGAGGAGCGAAAGCAUGGGGAGCGAACAGGAUUAGAUACCCUGGUAGUCCAUGCCGUAAACGUUGGGCACUAGGUGUGGGGGACAUUCCACGUUUUCCGCGCCGUAGCUAACGCAUUAAGUGCCCGCCUGGGGAGACGCGCAGNGAACACAAGAGUGAGNGNGNGAGNGCGAGACGACGACGAGGGAGAGG